Molecule: ribosomal RNA, 369 nt
Filed under: Escherichia coli
Lineage: Bacteria; Pseudomonadati; Pseudomonadota; Gammaproteobacteria; Enterobacterales; Enterobacteriaceae
Description: bacterial SSU rRNA
Rfam family: Bacterial small subunit ribosomal RNA
Source: RNAcentral
AAAUUGAAGAGUUUGAUCAUGGCUCAGAUUGAACGCUGGCGGCAGGCCUAACACAUGCAAGUCGAACGGUAACAGGAAACAGCUUGCUGUUUCGCUGACGAGUGGCGGACGGGUGAGUAAUGUCUGGGAAACUGCCUGAUGGAGGGGGAUAACUACUGGAAACGGUAGCUAAUACCGCAUAACGUCGCAAGACCAAAGAGGGGGACCCUCGGGCCUCUUGCCAUCGGAUGUGCCCAGAUGGGAUUAGCUUGUUGGUGGGGUAACGGCUCACCAAGGCGACGAUCCCUAGCUGGUCUGAGAGGAUGACCAGCCACACUGGAACUGAGACACGGUCCAGACUCCUACGGGAGGCAGCAGUGGGGAAUAUUG